This is a long non-coding RNA of Peromyscus californicus insignis, 4301 nucleotides long. RefSeq lists it as uncharacterized. NCBI's taxonomy places the organism in Eukaryota, Metazoa, Chordata, Mammalia, Rodentia, Cricetidae. The transcript is spliced from 3 exons. The record is from RefSeq and is a predicted model, not a curated record.
CUUCACCAGACUUGGCGAACGGUUCUCACAAUGUGGAUGCAGCAAGCCCCGGGGAGACUCUAGACAGCACUUCCGGUACUUAGUCCCUAUUUUUCAGACGUUUUCGGAAUCCAACGGCCUUACUAGUAUCAACCAUCUCUCUCCAUAUCUUUGAGGCUGACUGGUCUUAUCAAGCUUAUUCACCCAUGGCAAAGGCCACCACUGGUGACCACGGACACCAGAGGUUCUCCAGAGGGCUUCCUUCAGAUGCACUCAAGGCCUUGAGACAGAUGCGGGAUGAGUCUGCUCUCUUACCACGCUACUGCCUUUUAUCCCAAAGCCACAGAGGAGGAAGACAAGGACAAAAAUGAAGCUCUGGAGCCAGUGACCUACCUAGAAUCAGGCUCCAGGAGACCCCAGUCCAUACCUUCCUCUGGAUCUUAGUAGUAGACGGAAGGUAACCCUGGACCUGGAUCACACUGGCACCUUCAUUACCUCAUUGGUCCCUCAGAAGCCACUAUGAAGACUCCCUGAGGUUACAUUGGGUAUUGCACUGGUAUCCUAGGGGAACUGGAGAGUGACCAGGAUCCUCAGUCUCAUCCUGAUGUCACCAGAGAGCUGGGGCAAAGGCCAUACCUCCACUCUUGUCUCACCUCAAGUGACCCUUUGGACUCUGCCUGCAGGCUUUUGGGACAACACACCCCGGUCUUAAAAAGCACAGAGACAGUAGGCAGAGGGCUGUGGAAGACUGGACGACAUGAUACCUGAGUUGCUGCUGCUCUGCCUCUCCUGUUCAAGUCUCUGGACCUCGCUGGGUUACAGUGAUUAGCUUGGGGAUUUGCUAUGGGUGGAAAUGGGUAUCCUUCCAGGUUUAUAUGAUGAUGUCCUAACUCCAGGUCUCCCAGAGUGUGACCAUGCAUGGAGACAGGGUUUUGAAAUGGAUCCUUGUGUCAAAAUGGUCAUUAUAGUGGAUCUUAAUUCAGUGGGAAUGGUGUCUUCAUAGCAUUAGGACAUGGACACACAUAGAAGGAAUAACACAUGAGCGUACAGGAAAAAGGUGGCCAUCCCCAAGUCAAAAAGAAAGGCUUCAAAAGAGCCAAUCGUGUUGACCUGUCAUCUUGGAUUUGCAGUCUCUAGAAUAGGAGAAGUAAAUUCUUGCAGCGUAAAUCUUCCCAAUUGCGGUCUUCCUACCUAUUAAUAUAGGAAGCCUAGAGGAGGGGGCCCAUGAAUCAGGGACAAGGAGGUCUUUAAUCCCAUGUUGCUGAGAAACGCUUUGUGUAGGUAUACCUUUUAGAGGAAUGAUAUAUUUACACACACACACUGUACUCCCUGGCAAGGUCUCAUGUAUCCCAGGCUGGUUUCACAUUUGCUACAUAGCUGAGGAGCACAUUGAACUUCUGAUCCUUCUGUCUCUACUUCUGAAGUCUGGCAUUAAUCAAAUCCAGGGUUUACUGCAUGCUAAGCAAGCACUCUUAUCAACUGAGUCACACCCCUGGGCCCAGGGAUCUAUCCUUUAGGAAGAAUUCAAUUUUCUAGAGAGAUUCAUGAUAUAAGAAAGUGAACAAGCACUGGCUAUAUCUAGGUUUUCCUAAAGUUCAAAGCCAAACUUCAACCCUACCAAGCAGGACCUACUCAGUCUUUAACAUGUAUAGGCAACAUGCGGUUCUGGUAAUUUAGGGAGAAUCUGGGACAGCUGCUUAUUACGGGUCCCUUAAAUUGAAAUCCAGAUGUCUGGCCACCUUCAUUUUGUGAAGGUUGUGCUGAGAACUGACAGAGCUUCUUUGAUCACAUGGUUAGGCACAGGGCAAGGGAAGCCAGGAUUGCAAGCCCGACACAUUUGGACCAUUUCACUUUCACCUAAAAGUGGAGUCAGGGGGGCUGAGCAGAUGGUUCAACCAGUAAAGUGUCUGUUCUGCAAGAGUGAGGACCAAACUUCAGAUCCCCAGCACCCACAUAAAAGUCUGGUGGAUAUAGUGACCCAUUUGCCAUCCCGGUUUCAGGAUGUGGAGAGCAAGCUGGCUACCUAGACUAACCAAAUCAGCGAGCUCUGGCCUUGGGUGGAGGCCAGAGAGGACACACAGUGACAACCUCUAAUAUCUGAACCUGCAGCCAUGCACACACACACACACACACACACACACACACACACACACACACACACACACAUGCACCUGCAUAGGCCUACAUACCUACACACAUAUGAAGAUGCACAUACACAUGUACAUAUCACAUACAUAUACAUACAUGCUUUAAAAAUUAAAGUAAAGCUAGGGUCAAAAAUCUUCAACUGGAACCAUCAACAAAACUCUAUGCAGACAUCAUCCAUAUAUGGAACCAUCAUCCACGAAACCCUAUGCGGACACUGUAGAUAGAUUUCUUUGAAAUGCAUAGAAAUUUAUGGAAAAGAUAAAAAGACACAGCCUGUCAUACAUAGCUUUUAGAUAAAUGUCAUGGAUGACACAAACUUGCUUCUUUCAGAACCUUGUAGAGUUCUCUUGUUACCAUCCUGGAGAAUGGCUUUCUCGUGCCCCAAAUGCCCAGAGGUCACACUGUGAUGCUGUAUAUCCUACUCAGUGCUGGGUGGGAAUCUCUCUGUUUUCUGUGGUUCUAAGAAUGGAACCCAGGGCUUGCAAGGGCUAGGCAGGAACACUCCCAGUGAGCUACACCCCAUACCCCUUAUUAUUUAAGAGAAAGACUGUAAGUUCAAGUUCUAGCCCUGAAAAAAAAAAAAUCUCGGAGAGCAGAAAUUUAGAUUAAUGGCUUCCUUUGGAACUGAGGGAGGUGAGCUGUGCUGAGCCCAGUGUGGCUUUCCCUGUGCGUGUGACAUGCUCUCUAAGUUGUAUGCUGGCCAUGAGCUUGCUGGUUUACUCAUCUACUCUGCACAGUCUGGUAUUAAAUAUUAAAUAAACUUCAACAACCCACCUGAAAAAAAAAAUGGUUUACUUAGCCUUAAAAAUGUUCAUGUCAUUGACUGACUCUGCUUUCGGGAGUGUAUUGGAAGAAAAUAAUCUGAACUGAGGCCAGAGAUGUUCAUACCAGAAGUUUAUCGUAGCAUUGGAAAUUGGAAAUAACUUUUAAAGGUCCAACAAGGAAGAACGACUGGGAAAAUUAUGUUACUUCUAUUACACAGACUUCAAAAAAAAAAAAAAAAAGAUGCUCACAAAGAGGUUUUAGUAGUACAAGGAGCAUUUGAUAAAAUUUUAAAUAGAAAAUCAGAAUAUUAAAUUAUGCAUAAAAUAAGACUUCAAAGUGCUGGAAAAGACCGAAGAAAAAGAAAAGAAAAAAAAAGCCAAAAAGAAAACAGUGAAUAGGAAGUAUCCCUGGGCUUGUAAUUACAGUUCUUUUUCUUGUGUCCAAGUUUUUGUUUGUUUUGCAAAGCUUGGGAUCAAAGACUAAAGUCAGAGCCUUGGUCACGCUGCAUGGACACUAGUGAGCUCUGCACUCGGCCCCUGAAAGUUUUCAUUUUUAUACACGUGAACAUGGAACUCUUUCAUCAAAUGGAGAGUUGAUUAAAGAAUGGCCUGCCUAUUGGUUCUUCUUAUUAAAAACCUCCAGGUAGGUUCUUCUUUUAUGCUGAACAGCGUGGCUUCUUGCCCUCAGAAUGAAGAGGCUGAUUGGGGUAGGGGUAGCGGGGAGGCAUUUGGGGGUUUCUGGUCUCGUGUAUAUAUUUUUACUGUGCUUUUUCUUUUCUUUCUUUUUUUAUAGUUUUUUUUUAUUUAUUUAACUUUAUUUCAUGUGCAUCGGCAUCAGAGCCCCUGGAACUGGAGUUACAGACAGUUGUGAGCAGCCAUGUGGGUGCUGGGAAUUGAACCCAGGUCCUCUGGAAGAGCAGCCAGUGCUCUUAACCUCUGAGCCAUCUCUCCAGCCCCAUGGUUUUUCCUGAUACAGAUGACUGUUGUGGGAUAUUUGUGCACUGUGUGAAGAUAUAUUGCUAUGAUUGGUUUAAUAAAAGGCUAAACAGCCAAUAGCUAGGCAGGAGACUGGACUUGCUUUUGAUUGCAGCUAUCCACCUGCCUCUGCUUCCCGAGAGCUGGGAUUGAAGGCGUGUCCCUCCACGCUGGGAUCUUAUCUCAGUUUUCACUGAGCGUGUUUCGCUGUGUAAAUAUACACCCUUAUCAGCACCAUGUCCAAUGGGCUUAAUAAGCAACUUCUCCUAGCGAGUCAAACAAACAACACUGUCACUGGUCUCCUGUCUCCACACAUAUCACCCCAUUCUACCCUUCAAAGUGCCACCACUGAUCUCUUUUCUCCACACAUAUCACCCCAUUCUGUUCCUCGCCUGACAACCAUUCUUAACUCUUCCAGUGGGUUUUUUGUUUGAC